Molecule: transfer RNA, 90 nt
Filed under: Microlunatus sp.
Lineage: Bacteria; Bacillati; Actinomycetota; Actinomycetes; Propionibacteriales; Propionibacteriaceae
Also listed under: 1 other name
Description: tRNA-Ser
Rfam family: tRNA
About the family: Transfer RNA (tRNA) molecules are approximately 80 nucleotides in length. Their secondary structure includes four short double-helical elements and three loops (D, anti-codon, and T loops).
Source: RNAcentral
GGUGGCGUGUCUGAGCGGCCUAAAGAGCUCGCCUCGAAAGCGAGUGAGGGUUCACCCCCUCCGCGGGUUCAAAUCCCGCCGCCACCGCCA